Long non-coding RNA from Ictalurus punctatus (channel catfish), 1760 nucleotides. NCBI's taxonomy places the organism in Eukaryota, Metazoa, Chordata, Actinopteri, Siluriformes, Ictaluridae. The record is from Ensembl.
ACAAACUUUUGUGGUUGAUGCGAUCUAUGCAAGACAUCUUUAAACAAAAAAAAAAGAGGAUUAUUUCUGCAUAUUUUUAACAAUGUGUGGGAAUUGGAAAUGUAACUUUCUUGACUAAUUAUUUUAAGUGCAAUAAGCGCUCAAAUGUCUAGACGAAGACCAUCUACGUGACAGCAGAAGCGGACGGUGCUGGAAUGGGAAACACUGGCCAUGAUGGCACAAGAUAUGAUACUUAAUGAUAAUGACUUGAACUGGGUUCCUCUUAAAGAGAUAAGACGAAGAAAACUGGUAUACACACAGCAAGGCGGGAUGGUAUCGACAUUUUGAGCAGAAUCUGUUAGACAGACAGACAGACAGACACAGAAAGACACAUCCCAUGAAUCCAGUGAAAUCUGGAUCGACCUUUCAGGGACUAGAGGACAGUGGACCCACAACUGCAAUCAUUUUUUGCGUUCGGUUACAAGACGCAUGUUCAUAACAGCAUUUCGGUAUGUUAAACAAAAAUAAUAAUAAUAAUAAUAAUAAUAAUAAUAAUAAUCUGAAGCUGAAGAAGACAACGACGAACCUGAUCAGUGCUCAUUUUCAGAGUACAUGCUCUGUCCAAUCACAGUAGCUGCUGUAAUAUCGAACACCCUUCUUAUCCAAUCAGAGCUCAGGGCUUGUGACAUCACUGCAACCCGUGUCAGCAGGUAGCGCGUGAACAUGCAAAUGGAUUGUGAUGCUUUUUUUUCCGUUUGCAGUGCUGAAGUGCUGUCCCGUUCCUGCAGCAAUGCACCAUGGGAGGGAGCAAAGUGGUUCAGUGUGUGUGUGUAUACAAGUUCCACUCUGAGCAACCAAACCACCCAGGUAUCCAGUUUCUUACACAUAUAUUUAUCUACAAGACUGAUGAUUGGACCGUGAUCCCGCUCCGUAACCCUGCGCUGUUUGAGAAGCAGCUUGUCUACGAGAAAAAAAGAACAAAAAAAAAAAAGUCAUGCGUUUAGUGCUGGCUGCCAUUUUCUGAAACAGAAGUGAGCAAAAAAUGAAGAAAUGUGUUUUUUUUUUUUUUUAAAAACGGGACACUAUGGCACCGUGAAGGUUGAUGCAGACAAAAACAUGUACACAUGGAUAUUAAAAGAUCCUUUGUGAGCACGAAUAGGGAUUAUUUCUGUUUUCCUGCUGGAUAUUUGUGUGUGCAAAGCUGUGCGUUCGCAUGAUGAUCCUGGGUUGUGCAAGAAUACGACAAAAUUCCUGAUCAUGAGGGGGCAAGAAAAGAAAAAAAAGAAAAAAAAGAAAAAUUCACAAGCAUAGAUUCUAUUAGAUACAGGAUGCUCCUCUCUGUAACACGUAGUCCCAAAGCUCAGGUGUCCAACAUCACUUCCAGAGUAGAGAUGAUAACAGGGAUCCACCCUAAACUAUGUAAAAUCUCAGCAGCACUUCCCUCUGCUCCUCAGUUUCCACAUCCCUCUCUUCAAGCAUGCGUCCAGUCCCGGGCACACACGGGAGCAGCUGUGGGAGAGGCCAGGAUCAGGUGAGGGGAGGUGUAAGAAGAGCUAGGAGAGUUCAAGUGCAGCUUGGAGAUGUCUGAGCAUUGAGAUGCAGCGGAGACUAAACACGAGAGCGAUUUCUCACAUGGGACCUGUGUAGAACAAGGUGCAAAAUUCAGUCACACAAAAGCAAUUAAAAUCUUAAGUAAUUUAAACUACACUAGGGGCCGUAUUCAGAGUUUAGCUGCGCUUGCAUGACAUAUAAAUCAUAAAUGUGUCACUAUGUCAUCAUAG